UACGUAGGGUGCGAGCGUUAAUCGGAAUUACUGGGCGUAAAGCGUGCGCAGGCGGUUUUGUAAGCCAGAUGUGAAAUCCCCGGGCUUAACCUGGGAAUGGCAUUUGGGACUGCAAGGCUGGAGUGUGGCAGAGGAGACUGGAAUUCCUGGUGUAGCAGUGAAAUGCGUAGAUAUCAGGAGGAACACCAGCGGUGUAGACGGCUUUCUGGACCAUUGCUGACGCUGAGACACGAAAGCGUGGGUAGCAAACAGG
RNAcentral lists this ribosomal RNA (253 nucleotides) under uncultured bacterium. RNAcentral's name for it is "partial 16S ribosomal RNA". It matches the Rfam family "Bacterial small subunit ribosomal RNA", at positions 524 to 776 of the family's 1533-position model. The record is from RNAcentral.